This is an RNA transcript of Populus trichocarpa (black cottonwood), 2692 nucleotides long. It is a transcript of the gene named C-terminal binding protein AN, with no coding region annotated. The record is from RefSeq and is a predicted model, not a curated record. Lineage: Eukaryota; Viridiplantae; Streptophyta; Magnoliopsida; Malpighiales; Salicaceae. The transcript is spliced from 9 exons.
UUGAAGAACCAGGGGUCAGAUCUAGUCUAGUCUAGUGCCUAGACCAGCAAGGUACAUUUCACCCUCUCCAAUGACAUAGGAAGCAAAAACGAACCAACUGAAAAAACGACACACCAUCAAUUCUCUCUUUCAAGUUUCAUUUCACAAAAAAAAAAAAAGGUGCUCUCUUUUCUCUCCUCCUCCUCCAUUAAACCCCAAAAAAUGCCCCAAAUUCCUCACUUUAAACCCUAACUUGAACAAAAAUUGUAAAUGAGCGCCACGAAUAAUAGAUCCUCAACGACAAUGUCACUCCACCACCUUACCACCAACCCUCCUCCCCCACAACAAAAUCUCCCUCUAGUCGUCACUCUCAACUGCAUCGAAGAUUGUGCCAUCGAACAAGACUCCUUAUCCGGCGUCGCUUCAAUCGAACACGUUCCUCUCAGCCGUCUCUCCGGUGGCAAAAUUGAAUCAGCGGCUGCCGUCCUCCUCCACUCCCUCGCUUACCUCCCACGCGCUGCCCAACGCCGUCUCCGUCCUUACCAGCUUAUCCUAUGCCUGGGAUCGGCUGACCGAGCCGUCGACUCGGCUCUUGCUGCCGAUUUAGGUCUCCGGCUUGUCCACGUUGACAAUUCUCGAGCCGAGGAGAUCGCGGACACGGUUAUGGCUUUGUUUCUCGGCUUGCUUCGCCGGACGCACUUGUUAUCAAGACAUACGUUGUCAGCUUCCGGUUGGCUUGGCUCGGUACAGCCUCUUUGUAGAGGAAUGAGGAGGUGUAGAGGUCUGGUAUUGGGCAUUGUUGGUAGAUCUGCAUCGGCUAAGUCUUUGGCUACUAGAAGCUUGGCUUUCAAAAUAAGUGUGCUUUAUUUUGAUGUGCAUGAGGGGCCAGGAAUAUUAAGCAGGUCUUCUAUUGCAUUUCCUUCAGCUGCUCGAAGAAUGGAUACUCUUAAUGAUUUGCUAGCUGCUAGUGAUCUUAUUUCACUUCACUGUGCUUUAACUAAUGAAACUGUUCAGAUUAUUAGUGCAGAGUGUUUGCAGCAUAUAAAGCCAGGGGCAUUUCUUGUGAAUACGGGUAGCAGUCAGCUGCUGGAUGAUUGUGCUUUAAAGCAGCUUUUGAUUGAUGGGACCUUGGCUGGUUGUGCCUUGGAUGGUGCUGAAGGACCACAGUGGAUGGAAGCAUGGGUGAAAGAGAUGCCCAAUGUAUUGAUACUUCCACGCAGUGCAGAUUACAGUGAAGAAGUGUGGAUGGAGAUAAGGGACAAAGCCAUCUCUAUACUGCAGUCAUUCUUCCUUGAUGGGACUGUACCAAAAAAUGCCGUUUCUGACGAGGAAGAGGAAGAAAGUGAAAUAGGUGAGGAAAGCGAUCAAUUUCACAGACAAGACAAAGAAAGUACCCUGCAGGAUUCUGUUGUUGAGCAAUUGACAGAUGAUGUUCAGGUAACACUAGAAAGCUAUCACAAAAAAGUCAUUAGUCAAUCAAUAGAAUCUACCAGCAAAGCUCAGGUUUCUGGCAUGUCUCAAAAUAUGGCCACAAGAACUGAAGGAAGACGGAACCGAUUAGGCAAGAAGGCAAAAAAAAGACAUGGCCAUCAAAAAUCCCAACAGAAAUCAGAUGAUCCUUCUCAAUUAGAGAAAGAAAUUACUUCACAUCAAGAAGAUGAUACUGCUAUGAGUGGCACUGAUCAAGUGUUAAGUUCUGGUUCUCGGUUCGCAUCCCCUGAAGACUCAAGGAGUAGGAAAACACCGAUAGAAUUAACGCAAGAUCCAACUUCUGGCCAGCUUUCAAGAUCAGGCAAGAAGCUCAGUGGAAAGUCUGACAAGCUUCUCAAAGAUGGGCACAUUAUAGCUUUAUAUGCAAGAGAUCACUCUGCACUCCAUGUCUCCAGGCAAAGAGUUAAAGGAGGUGGCUGGUUCCUGGAUGCUAUGUCAAAUGUGACGAAAAGAGACCCUGCAGCACAGUUCCUUGUUGUUUUCAGAAGCAAGGAUACAAUUGGGUUGCGCUCUUUUGCUGCUGGUGGAAAGUUAUUGCAGAUUAACAGAAGAACGGAAUUUGUCUUUGCCAGUCACAGUUUUGAUGUUUGGGAGAGUUGGAUGUUGGAAGGUUCUUUGGAGGAAUGCCGGCUGGUUAACUGUAGAAAUCCUUUGGCUGUUUUGGAAGUACGCAUUGAGAUUCUGGCAGCCGUGGGAGAAGAUGGUGUUAGUCGUUGGCUAGAUUAAAUUGUGCAAGCAAGAGUUGAGAAACCCAACCUUUUUACCUGCCCAUUUCAUUAUCCUUCUCAGCUGCCCAUUAUGUUAUUCUUCUGAGGUACUUGUCAACCAAUGCUUUAUCAUCAUCUCUAGCUUUAAUGGUAGCUGCAUUUGCGUUGUUGAUUCCGGGCUUGUGAAGUAGUUCUUGACUGCAUGUUGCCUUGGAUACCUUGUUGCCGGUUGCUACGAGGGUAUUUGUUCAGAAAAUAUUUGUGGGGUCUUCAGUCAAUACAGCGACUAACAGAGAACAAUUUCUUGGCGGUUUUCGAUGAAUCACUGGUGAUACCAGUUAAACUCCCCUUUCAACCAUAUUGUAUUUGCUAGUUCCAAGUUUUCAUAAGCAUAAAUCAGCAUUUCACAUUAUUAUAUUAGUAGAUUAACAUAAACUAAUUGUGGAGCAGAAUUCACUCUUUCCUCCUCACAAAUCACUGAUUACUUGAAUAUUAAUUUUUUUUUAAUUUUAUAC